Molecule: long non-coding RNA, 790 nt
Filed under: Daphnia magna
Lineage: Eukaryota; Metazoa; Arthropoda; Branchiopoda; Diplostraca; Daphniidae
Description: uncharacterized LOC123471211, transcript variant X2
Source: RNAcentral
CAGUUGUAUUUUUUUCCAUGUUCAAUUACCUGUCAAUGUUGCUAACUUAAAUAUAGUGUUUUGCUGUAGGUUGGUAUCCAUUCCUGUUGAUUCUGGGGAACUCCGUUUUCAGUACUUCAAACUACGUUGAUGUUUUCUUGCAGUAUGGGAUAACUUUUUAUACAGUUGUUUUGGAAUCGUGACACUAAUACCUGCAGAAACUGUGCACAGCUUUUUGGAAUUGUUAUUCUGGCAUAAAAUUUAAUCGCAUCAUCUGAGAGGUAAGAUUGAAGUUGACAAAAUAAUUGUUAUAUUAUGUUGAUUAUAAAAGAAAUAGGUCGUUAGCUCACUAUAUAUAUUAGUGAACUACUCUGAUGAAUGAUACAAUACAGGUGCUGGCAUGCUAUCCAAGGCAAACUUAGGGCUAAACACUAAUCGAGGAAUUGGCCCACUUUGAGAUGGCCUGGCGCAUUAGUUGCGGUGUUGUAUCUUUGAGGUCCUUCCAUGUUUGUGUAGUGUAAUCUAAUCAAAAUUUUAUAUAUGUUAAUUAAUGAUAUUGAUCAAAAUAAUAAUUUUUUUGUUACUACCGAAUAUUUCUUCUAUUAUUUUAGGAUCCAUGGGUUCCCUCUUUACAGUUCCAGUCUUACCACCUUUGCCAGAUUUCUUGUGUGCUAAAUUUUCAGAUUAUAUUGUUAUUACAGUGCCGGUCCAGUUAUAGAACCGCCUAGCUAUGGAACCGGCUCGGUUAUCGAACCGAUUUUUCUUUGCCGUGUUUCAGCGCCACCGUUGGCCGUAUUAUGAACUAUAUCGA